RNAcentral lists this unclassified non-coding RNA (343 nucleotides) under soil metagenome. RNAcentral describes it as "partial contains 5.8S ribosomal RNA, internal transcribed spacer 2, and large subunit ribosomal RNA". The stretch from base 1 to 120 matches the Rfam family "5.8S ribosomal RNA", at positions 35 to 154 of the family's 154-position model. The record is from RNAcentral.
GAUGAAGAACGCAGCGAAAUGCGAUAAGUAAUGUGAAUGGCAGAAUUCAGUGAAUCAUCGAAUCUUUGAACGCACAUUGCGCCCGCUAGUAUUCUGGCGGGCAUGCCUGUCCGAGCGUCAUUUCAACCCUCAAGCCCCCGGGCUUGGUGUUGGGGAUCGGCGAGCCUCCGCGCCCGCCGUCCCCUAAAUCUAGUGGCGGUCUCGCUGUAGCUUCCUCUGCGUAGUAGCACACCUCGCACUGGGAAACAGCGCGGCCACGCCGUUAAACCCCCAACUUCUGAACGUUUGACCUCGGAUCAGGUAGGAAUACCCGCUGAACUUAAGCAUAUCAAUAAGCGGAGGA